RNAcentral lists this ribosomal RNA (599 nucleotides) under uncultured bacterium. RNAcentral's name for it is "bacterial SSU rRNA". It matches the Rfam family "Bacterial small subunit ribosomal RNA", at positions 895 to 1503 of the family's 1533-position model. The record is from RNAcentral.
UGAAACUCAAAGGAAUUGACGGGGGCCCGCACAAGCGGAGGAACAUGUGGUUUAAUUCGAUGAUACGCGAGGAACCUUACCCGGGCUCAAACGUUGCAGGAAGGGUGUCUGAAAGGAUGCCCGUCUACGGACCUGCGACGAGGUGCUGCAUGGUUGUCGUCAGCUCGUGCCGUGAGGUGUCGGCUUAAGUGCCAUAACGAGCGCAACCCCUACCGCCAGUUGCCAACAGGCAAAGCUGGGGACUCUGGCGGGACUGCCGGCGCAAGCUGCGAGGAAGGCGGGGAUGACGUCAAAUCAGCACGGCCCUUACGUCCGGGGCGACACACGUGUUACAAUGGCAGGUACAGCGGGAAGCCACCUGGCGACAGGGAGCGGAACCCGAAAGCCUGUCUCAGUUCGGAUUGGAGUCUGCAACCCGACUCCAUGAAGCUGGAUUCGCUAGUAAUCGCGCAUCAGCCACGGCGCGGUGAAUACGUUCCCGGGCCUUGUACACACCGCCCGUCAAGCCAUGGGAGUCGGGAGUGCCUGAAGUGCGUGAGCGCGAGCAGCGCCCUAGGGCAAAACCGAUGACUGGGGCUAAGUCGUAACAAGGUAGCCGU